RNAcentral lists this ribosomal RNA (468 nucleotides) under uncultured bacterium. Its description in RNAcentral is "bacterial SSU rRNA". It matches the Rfam family "Bacterial small subunit ribosomal RNA", at positions 29 to 506 of the family's 1533-position model. The record is from RNAcentral.
ACGAACGUUGGCGGCGUGGAUUAGGCAUGCAAGUCGAACGAAGCACGGGGGGCAACUCUCGUGACUGAGUGGCGAAAGGGGCAGUAAGGCGUGGGUAACCUACCCUGGGGACUGGGAUAGCCAUUCUAACGGAUGGGUAAUACCGGGCGACGCAGCGAGGGGGCAUCUCUUUGCUGCCAAAUGAAUUUCGCCCUGGGAGGGGCUCACGUGGUAUUAGCUAGUUGGUGAGGUAACGGCUCACCAAGGCUCAGAUGCCUAGCAGGUGUGAGAGCACGACCUGCGCCACUGGCACUGAGACACUGGCCAGACUCCUACGGGAGGCUGCAGUCGAGAAUCUUCGGCAAUGGGCGCAAGCCUGACCGAGCGACGCCGCGUGUGCGAUGAAGGCCUUCGGGUUGUAAAGCACUGUCGAGGGGGAGGAAGCCGCAAGGUUGACCUAUCCCUGGAGGAAGCACGGGCUAAGUUCGU